GGCUCAGGACGAACGCUGGCGGCGUGCCUAAAACAUGCAAGUCGAACGGGGUCUUCGGACCCAGUGGCGAACGGCGGAGUAAUACAUAAGCAACGUGCCCUGAAGACCGGGAUAGUCAGUGGAAACGCUGGGUAAUACCGGAUGUGGCCGUCCGAUGGCAUCAUUGGACGAUUAAACCGAGCAAUCGGCUUCUGGAGCGGCUUAUGGCCUAUCAGGUAGUUGGUGGGGUAAUGGCCUACCAAGCCGACGACGGGUAGCGGGUCUGAGAGGAUGAUCCGCUCGAGUGGGACUGAGACACGGCCCACACACCUACGGGUGGCAGCAGUUGGGAAUCAUUGGCAAUGGGGGAAACCCUGACCAUGCGACGCCGCGUGGAGGAUGACGGAUCUAGGUCUGUAAACUCCUUUUUCACGGAAAGACUUAGGACGGUACCGUGAGAAUAAGCUCCGGCUAACUACGUGCCAGCAGCCGCGGUAAGACGUAGGGAGCAAGCGUUGUCCGGAUUUACUGGGCGUAAAGAGCGCGUAGGCGGUCUGUUAAGUGAGAAGUGAAAUCUCCAGGGCUCAACCCGGAAACUGCUUUUCAUACUGGCAGACUUGAGGAAUGCAGAGGUAUGUGGAAUUCCUGGUGUAGCGGUGAAAUGCAUUGAUAUCAGGAGGAACACCCAUGGCGAAGGCAGCAUACUGGGCAUUAUCUGACGCUGAGGCGCGAAAGCGUGGGUAGCAAACAGGAUUAGAUACCCUGGUAGUCCACGCCCUAAACGAUGGAUACUAGGCGUAAGAGGUAUCGACCCCUCUUGUGCCGCAGCUAACGCAUUAAGUAUCCCGCCUGGGGAGUACGGCCGCAAGGUUGAAACUCAAAG
RNAcentral lists this ribosomal RNA (862 nucleotides) under uncultured bacterium. RNAcentral describes it as "bacterial SSU rRNA". It matches the Rfam family "Bacterial small subunit ribosomal RNA", at positions 21 to 906 of the family's 1533-position model. The record is from RNAcentral.